RNAcentral lists this ribosomal RNA (1382 nucleotides) under uncultured bacterium. RNAcentral's name for it is "bacterial SSU rRNA". It matches the Rfam family "Bacterial small subunit ribosomal RNA", at positions 18 to 1395 of the family's 1533-position model. The record is from RNAcentral.
CCUGGCUCACGUUGAACGCUAGCUACAGGCUUAACACAUGCAAGUCGAGGGGUAGCAUGGUCUUAGCUUGCUAAGGCCGAUGGCGACCGGCGCACGGGUGAGUAACACGUAUCCAACCUGCCGUCUACUCUUGGACAGCCUUCUGAAAGGAAGAUUAAUACAAGAUGGCAUCAUGAGUCCGCAUGUUCACAUGAUUAAAGGUAUUCCGGUAGACGAUGGGGAUGCGUUCCAUUAGAUAGUAGGCGGGGUAACGGCCCACCUAGUCUUCGAUGGAUAGGGGUUCUGAGAGGAAGGUCCCCCACAUUGGAACUGAGACACGGUCCAAACUCCUACGGGAGGCAGCAGUGAGGAAUAUUGGUCAAUGGGCGAGAGCCUGAACCAGCCAAGUAGCGUGAAGGAUGACUGCCCUAUGGGUUGUAAACUUCUUUUAUAAAGGAAUAAAGUCGGGUAUGGAUACCCGUUUGCAUGUACUUUAUGAAUAAGGAUCGGCUAACUCCGUGCCAGCAGCCGCGGUAAUACGGAGGAUCCGAGCGUUAUCCGGAUUUAUUGGGUUUAAAGGGAGCGUAGAUGGAUGUUUAAGUCAGUUGUGAAAGUUUGCGGCUCAACCGUAAAAUUGCAGUUGAUACUGGAUAUCUUGAGUGCAGUUGAGGCAGGCGGAAUUCGUGGUGUAGCGGUGAAAUGCUUAGAUAUCACGAAGAACUCCGAUUGCGAAGGCAGCCUGCUAAGCUGCAACUGACAUUGAGGCUCGAAAGUGUGGGUAUCAAACAGGAUUAGAUACCCUGGUAGUCCACACGGUAAACGAUGAAUACUCGCUGUUUGCGAUAUACUGCAAGCGGCCAAGCGAAAGCGUUAAGUAUUCCACCUGGGGAGUACGCCGGCAACGGUGAAACUCAAAGGAAUUGACGGGGGCCCGCACAAGCGGAGGAACAUGUGGUUUAAUUCGAUGAUACGCGAGGAACCUUACCCGGGCUUAAAUUGCAGAUGAAUUACGGUGAAAGCCGUAAGCCGCAAGGCAUCUGUGAAGGUGCUGCAUGGUUGUCGUCAGCUCGUGCCGUGAGGUGUCGGCUUAAGUGCCAUAACGAGCGCAACCCUUGUUGUCAGUUACUAACAGGUUCCGCUGAGGACUCUGACAAGACUGCCAUCGUAAGAUGUGAGGAAGGUGGGGAUGACGUCAAAUCAGCACGGCCCUUACGUCCGGGGCUACACACGUGUUACAAUGGGGGGUACAGAGGGCCGCUACCACGCGAGUGGAUGCCAAUCCCCAAAACCUCUCUCAGUUCGGACUGGAGUCUGCAACCCGACUCCACGAAGCUGGAUUCGCUAGUAAUCGCGCAUCAGCCACGGCGCGGUGAAUACGUUCCCGGGCCUUGUACACACAGCCC